AUUGAACGCUGGCGGCAUGCUUUACACAUGCAAGUCGAACGGCAGCGCGGGCUUCGGCCUGGCGGCGAGUGGCGAACGGGUGAGUAAUGCAUCGGAACGUGCCCAGUAGUGGGGGAUAGCCCGGCGAAAGCCGGAUUAAUACCGCAUACGACCUGAGGGUGAAAGCGGGGGACCGAAAGGCCUCGCGCUAUUGGAGCGGCCGAUGUCGGAUUAGCUAGUUGGUGGGGUAAAGGCUUACCAAGGCGACGAUCCGUAGCUGGUCUGAGAGGACGACCAGCCACACUGGGACUGAGACACGGCCCAGACUCCUACGGGAGGCAGCAGUGGGGAAUUUUGGACAAAGGGGGCAACCCUGAUCCAGCCAUGCCGCGUGCGGGAAGAAGGCCUUCGGGUUGUAAACCGCUUUUGUUCGGGAAGAAAUCCUCUGGGCUAAUAUCCCGGGGGGAUGACGGUACCGGAAGAAUAAGCACCGGCUAACUACGUG
RNAcentral lists this ribosomal RNA (484 nucleotides) under uncultured bacterium. RNAcentral's name for it is "partial 16S ribosomal RNA". It matches the Rfam family "Bacterial small subunit ribosomal RNA", at positions 29 to 507 of the family's 1533-position model. The record is from RNAcentral.